Molecule: ribosomal RNA, 587 nt
Filed under: Cystobasidium laryngis
Lineage: Eukaryota; Fungi; Basidiomycota; Cystobasidiomycetes; Cystobasidiales; Cystobasidiaceae
Description: partial large subunit ribosomal RNA
Rfam family: Eukaryotic large subunit ribosomal RNA
Source: RNAcentral
UGCAUAUCAAUAAGCGGAGGAAAAGAAACUAACAAGGAUUCCCCUAGUAACGGCGAGUGAAGUGGGAAAAGCUCAACUUUGAAAUCUGGUACUUUCAGUAUCCGAAUUGUAGUCUCAAGAAGUGUUUUCUGUGCCGGUCCAUGUAUGAGUCUGUUGGAACACAGCGUCAUAGAGGGUGACAACCCCGUUCAUGACAUGGAUCCCGGUGCUUUGUGAUACACUCUCGAAGAGUCGAGUUGUUUGGGAAUGCAGCUCAAAUUGGGUGGUAAAUUCCAUCUAAAGCUAAAUAUUGGCGAGAGACCGAUAGCAAACAAGUACCGUGAGGGAAAGAUGAAAAGCACUUUGGAAAGAGAGUUAACAGUACGUGAAAUUGUUGAAAGGGAAACGAUUGAAGUCAGACGUGCGUGAUGCGGUUCAGCUCUAGUUCGCUAGAGUGUACUCCGUAUCUUUGCAGGCCAACAUCGGUUUUGUUAGUCGGAUAAAGGUUUGAGAAAUGUGGCACCUUCGGGUGUGUUAUAGUCUCAGACUGAAUACGAUUGAUGGGACCGAGGAACGCAGCGCGCCGCAAGGCAAAGGUUCCGACCUUU